Non-coding RNA from Paramuricea clavata, 662 nucleotides. The record is from the annotation of a GenBank genome assembly. Lineage: Eukaryota; Metazoa; Cnidaria; Anthozoa; Malacalcyonacea; Plexauridae.
AUCGAGAAAGCCCUAAUUUUCUAAUUAGGCAAUUUUCUAACUAUGUUUAAAUUACAUUUACAGAAUAAUAUGUCGAAGUACGUUCACACACAACUCACGAGUGUCUAAAGUGACAUUAUAAACAUGACAAUAUUUGGCACUUUCUCCAUGUACGAACAACCGAAAGAUACAGUGAUGAUACUGGUGAUGUAUAAGUUGUAAAUUGGUAUAGGUGAUAUUAAAGUGGGGAUGAAAGCAUGCAAGCUAAAAUGAGACAUGAAUAGUAAAACUGCGAUGUGUAUGACUCGAUCAAUUGUUUUCGUGAGGAUCGUGAAGGAAUAACCUGGGUGCGUUUAUGUGUGAAGUAGUGUGAUAUUGCCAAGACCUGGGUGAAUGCCAAUGUAUCGCCACCAAGGCCAAGUCCCAUGUGUUUUGCGUUCAAAACUAAGGUUAUGUUCUCAUCAGGCUCCAAACAUAACCGGGAAAGUACGUUUCGACCCCGCUAGCUGGUCUUGGAAGUACGUGCUCGCAUAUAAAUAUUCAUUUCUGUUCCUUUAAUAUGAAUUAUACAUGUCUGCGCGAAAAAAUCGGUUGAUUAUUUCGUCUAGGAAUAGCGUGAAAAUUGGUUGAAUUUGGUAUGCGUGCUUUGUAAUGGAUGAAAAUGAUAAUGUUCUCAUGUGCAA